UACGAAGGGGGCGAGCGUUGUUCGGAUUUACUGGGCGUAAAGGGCGCGCAGGCGGCGCAUUUUGUCAGGCGUGAAAGCCCCGGGCUUAACCUGGGAACUGCGUCUGAUACUGGAUGGCUUGAGUUUGGGAGAGGGACGCGGAAUUCCAGGUGUAGCGGUGAAAUGCGUAGAUAUCUGGAGGAACACCGGUGGCGAAGGCGGCGUCCUGGACCAACACUGACACUGAUGAGCGAAAGCCAGGGGAGCAAACGGG
This 253-nucleotide ribosomal RNA is filed under the name uncultured bacterium. Its description in RNAcentral is "partial 16S ribosomal RNA". It matches the Rfam family "Bacterial small subunit ribosomal RNA", at positions 524 to 776 of the family's 1533-position model. The record is from RNAcentral.